GAUGAACGCUGGCGGCGUGCCUAAUACAUGCAAGUCGAGCGAACAGACGAGGAGCUUGCUCCUCUGACGUUAGCGGCGGACGGGUGAGUAACACGUGGAUAACCUACCUAUAAGACUGGGAUAACUUCGGGAAACCGGAGCUAAUACCGUAUAACAUGUUGAACCGCAUGGUUCAACAGUGAAAGACGGUCUUGCUGUCACUUAUAGAUGGAUCCGCGCCGCAUUAGCUAGUUGGUAAGGUAACGGCUUACCAAGGCAACGAUGCGUAGCCGACCUGAGAGGGUGAUCGGCCACACUGGAACUGAGACACGGUCCAGACUCCUACGGGAGGCAGCAGUAGGGAAUCUUCCGCAAAGGGCGAAAGCCUGACGGAGCAACGCCGCGUGAGUGAAGAAGGUCUUCGGAUCGUAAAACUCUGUUAUUAGGGAAGAACAAAUGUGUAAGUAACUAUGCACGUCUUGACGGUACCUAAUCGGAAAGCCACGGCUAACUACGUG
RNAcentral lists this ribosomal RNA (497 nucleotides) under uncultured bacterium. Its description in RNAcentral is "partial 16S ribosomal RNA". It matches the Rfam family "Bacterial small subunit ribosomal RNA", at positions 28 to 507 of the family's 1533-position model. The record is from RNAcentral.